This 425-nucleotide long non-coding RNA is filed under the name Manihot esculenta (cassava). RNAcentral describes it as "long non-coding RNA (MESC_LNC002700)". The record is from RNAcentral. Lineage: Eukaryota; Viridiplantae; Streptophyta; Magnoliopsida; Malpighiales; Euphorbiaceae.
UCUCGGAGAGAGACCCCACCUCCUUACCACCACAGAUUCCACUCAUCACAUAGUGCAGAUGGUGGAAACUUCUAUAAUAACCACGACAGAAUGAGACCAGUCCCAUAUGAAAUGAAUGACGGCUGGAGAUACCCUGCACCUCCUUUUCCUGGUAAUUUUAAUUUAUCUGAAAGUUUAUAGAGAUUUAUGCACAUGUUAAUUCAUUGUAUGGUAUUUCGUGUUUUUAUCUUAUUGUCAAUACCAUUUUCCCCACAUAGGUCCACGGCAUCCUGAUAAAAGUAGAGCAUCUCACCCACCUGGUCCUUAUGGUGGCCCCCCUAGAGAACCGAAUAGAAUUCCUCAUCAGGAAUGGUCAUUUCCUCCCCGGGGGACACAUCAUAGGAACUUCAUGCCUUUUAGACCUCCACCUGAAAGGGCAAUUCCAG